RNAcentral lists this ribosomal RNA (492 nucleotides) under uncultured bacterium. RNAcentral's name for it is "partial 16S ribosomal RNA". It matches the Rfam family "Bacterial small subunit ribosomal RNA", at positions 29 to 507 of the family's 1533-position model. The record is from RNAcentral.
AGUGAACGCUGGCGGUAGGCCUAACACAUGCAAGUCGAACGGCAGCACAGUAAGAGCUUGCUCUUACGGGUGGCGAGUGGCGGACGGGUGAGGAAUACAUCGGAAUCUACUUUUUCGUGGGGGAUAACGUAGGGAGACUUACGCUAAUACCGCAUACGACCUACGGGUGAAAGCAGGGGAUCUUCGGACCUUGCGCGAUUGAAUGAGCCGAUGUCGGAUUAGCUAGUUGGCGGGGUAAAGGCCCACCAAGGCGACGAUCCGUAGCUGGUCUGAGAGGAUGAUCAGCCACACUGGAACUGAGACACGGUCCAGACUCCUACGGGAGGCAGCAGUGGGGAAUAUUGGACAAUGGGCGCAAGCCUGAUCCAGCCAUACCGCGUGGGUGAAGAAGGCCUUCGGGUUGUAAAGCCCUUAUGUUGGGAAAGAAAAGCAGCAGGUUAAUACCCCGCUGUUCUGACGGUACCCAAAGAAUAAGCACCGGCUAACUUCGUG